GGCCAGACUCCUACGGGAGGCAGCAGUGGGGAAUAUUGCACAAUGGGGGAAACCCUGAUGCAGCGACGCCGCGUGAGUGAAGAAGUAUUUCGGUAUGUAAAGCUCUAUCAGCAGGGAAGAAGAUGACGGUACCUGACCAAGAAGCACCGGCUAAAUACGUGCCAGCAGCCGCGGUAAUACGUAUGGUGCAAGCGUUAUCCGGAUUUACUGGGUGUAAAGGGAGCGCAGGCGGCACGGCAAGUCAGAUGUGAAAGCCCGGGGCUCAACCCCGGGACUGCAUUUGAAACUGCCGCGCUAGAGUGUCGGAGAGGCAAGUGGAAUUCCUAGUGUAGCGGUGAAAUGCGUAGAUAUUAGGAGGAACACCAGUGGCGAAGGCGGCUUGCUGGACGAUGACUGACGCUGAGGCUCGAAAGCGUGGGGAGCAAACAGGAUUAGAUACCCCCGUA
RNAcentral lists this ribosomal RNA (446 nucleotides) under uncultured bacterium. Its description in RNAcentral is "bacterial SSU rRNA". It matches the Rfam family "Bacterial small subunit ribosomal RNA", at positions 329 to 792 of the family's 1533-position model. The record is from RNAcentral.